AUUGAACGCUGGCGGCAUGCCUUACACAUGCAAGUCGAACGGUAACAGGUCUUCGGAUGCUGACGAGUGGCGAACGGGUGAGUAAUACAUCGGAACGUGCCUAGUAGUGGGGGAUAACUACUCGAAAGAGUGGCUAAUACCGCAUGAGAUCUACGGAUGAAAGCAGGGGAUCGCAAGACCUUGUGCUACUAGAGCGGCCGAUGGCAGAUUAGGUAGUUGGUGGGAUAAAAGCUUACCAAGACGACGAUCUGUAGCUGGUCUGAGAGGACGAUCAGCAACACUGGGACUGAGACACGGCCCAGACUCCUACGGGAGGCAGCAGUGGGGAAUUUUGGACAAUGGGCGCAAGCCUGAUCCAGCAAUGCCGCGUGCAGGAUGAAGGCCUUCGGGUUGUAAACUGCUUUUGUACGGAACGAAAAGCCCUGGGUUAAUACCCUGGGGUCAUGACGGUACCGUAAGAAUAAGCACCGGCUAACCACGUGCCAGCCGCCGCAGUAA
Molecule: ribosomal RNA, 498 nt
Filed under: uncultured bacterium
Lineage: Bacteria
Description: partial 16S ribosomal RNA
Rfam family: Bacterial small subunit ribosomal RNA
Source: RNAcentral